RNAcentral lists this ribosomal RNA (322 nucleotides) under uncultured eukaryote. RNAcentral's name for it is "partial 18S ribosomal RNA". It matches the Rfam family "Eukaryotic small subunit ribosomal RNA", at positions 1470 to 1796 of the family's 1831-position model. The record is from RNAcentral.
CCCUUAGAUGUUCUGGGCCGCACGCGCGCUACACUGACUGGUGCAACAAGUGUCUGACCUUGGCUCGAGAGGCCUGGGCAACCUUUGAACGCCAGUCGUGCUGGGGAUAGAUUCUUGCAAUUAUUAAUCUUCAACGAGGAAUUCCUAGUAAACGCAAGUCAUCAGCUUGCAUUGAUUACGUCCCUGCCCUUUGUACACACCGCCCGUCGCACCUACCGAUUGAAUGGUCCGGUGAAAUCUCGGGACGGCGGCUUGGUCGCUUGCGUCCGACUGCUGAAACUUGAUUAAACCAUAUCAUUUAGAGGAAGGUGAAGUCGUAACA